CCUACGGGAGGCAGCAGUGGGGAAUAUUGGGCAAUGGGCGCAAGCCUGACCCAGCAACGCCGCGUGAAGGCAGACGGCUUUCGGGUUGUCACCUUCUUUUCUCCGUGACGACGCACGUGCCGGUACCUGAGGAAUAAGCCACGGCUAACUACGUGCCAGCAGCCGCGGUAAUACGUAGGUGGCAAGCGUUAUCCGGAUUUACUGGGUGUAAAGGGCGUGUAGGCGGGACUGCAAGUCAGAUGUGAAAACCAUGGGCUCAACCUAUGGCCUGCAUUUGAAACUGUAGUUCUUGAGUACUGGAGAGGCAGACGGAAUUCCUAGUGUAGCGGUGAAAUGCGUAGAUAUUAGGAGGAACACCAGUGGCGAAGGCGGUCUGCUGGACAGCAACUGACGCUGAGGCGCGAAAGCGUGGGGAGCAAACAGGAUUAGAUACCCCUGUAGUC
This 443-nucleotide ribosomal RNA is filed under the name uncultured bacterium. RNAcentral's name for it is "partial 16S ribosomal RNA". It matches the Rfam family "Bacterial small subunit ribosomal RNA", at positions 338 to 795 of the family's 1533-position model. The record is from RNAcentral.